CCCUUAGAUGUUCUGGGCCGCACGCGCGCUACACUGAUGCAUUCAACGAGCCUAUCCUUGACCGACAGGUCCGGGUAAUCUUUGAAUCUGCAUCGUGACGGGGAUAGAUUAUUGCAAUUAUUAAUCUUCAACGAGGAAUGCCUAGUAGGCGCAAGUCAUCAGCUUGCGUCGAUUACGUCCCUGCCCUUUGUACACACCGCCCGUCGCUCGUACCGAUUGGGUGUGCUGGUGAAAUGUUCGGAUCGGCCGUUUGUCGCGGUUUCCGCGUCAUGUGGCUGAGAAGUUCAUUAAACCCUCCCACCUAGAGGAAGGAGAAGUCGUAACA
RNAcentral lists this ribosomal RNA (325 nucleotides) under uncultured eukaryote. RNAcentral's name for it is "partial 18S ribosomal RNA". It matches the Rfam family "Eukaryotic small subunit ribosomal RNA", at positions 1470 to 1796 of the family's 1831-position model. The record is from RNAcentral.